Long non-coding RNA from Canis lupus familiaris (dog), 1788 nucleotides. RefSeq lists it as uncharacterized. The record is from RefSeq and is a predicted model, not a curated record. The transcript has 3 exons. Lineage: Eukaryota; Metazoa; Chordata; Mammalia; Carnivora; Canidae.
UCGCGGCCUCCGUCUCUAAUCGAAGUAAAGCCCGCGGGGCGCGCGGCUGCCGAGGACACGGCGGAUCUGGGGCGCGGGGACACGCGGAGCCUGACCCGGGAGGCCGCCCUUCAGCCGCGACCCGCUCGGCCAGAGAGAACGCGACCUCGUUCGGGUCACGGGUCCACGACGCACCACGCGCUCCUCACGCUUUCAGGCCAGCGGAGGGGAAGCCCCCGCCUCCUCGACACCCCGUGCGAGGCCCGUGUCACCUUCUUCAUCCCCUGAUGCUUCGUCCUCCGACGCUCGAGUGUGCUGCCCUCCCGGAAGGAGACGAGGCUCAAGACACGAUCAUUGUCCCAGAGUCACACAGCAGCCUGGUGACCCGGUCCCCAGCUCCCAAAAGCUGAUGCUCCUCAGCUCUCUGGAGACUUGCCAAGGCCCGGGAAGGCGGCAGCCGGGCCCCCCGCCCCCCGCCAGACACCCCGAGUCCGCCCGGGCCGCAGCAUCGGCUGACGGCAGGGAAACCUCGGGAAGGGACGCCGCGUCACCAUUUCGCAGCUAAAGGCAGCACGUGGCGGCCUCAGUGGCCUUGGGGCGCUCGGCGGGUCCCAGGAGACGGCAGCUGGGCCUGCGGGCUCCCACCAGACACAGCCUCCGCGUGGGCCGGGCCGCGGGGGGCGGGAGGUCGCACCCGUGGGAGGAGCCCCCCACGCACAGGCCUGUCCGCGCCACGCCGGGGCUUCUGUUGUCCCAGGCGGCCCCCGACCAGGGCCACCUCUUCCCACCUGCCCACAGGAGCUCCCUCCUCGUGGCUGUUCUCACUGGAGAUGCGCUGCGUGGACGAGGAACUGAGUCAACAACCGCAUCCUCCGGAUCCACGCGGAUGUAAGCACCUCCAUCGCCCCCGAGCGGCCAGCGGUGCAGGGUCCCCUCCGCUCGGGAGACCGCCCCGCCUCGUGUCCCUACCGACGUGCCUCAUGCACACUCCCCCGGACCGGGCGUCCCGUGGGCUACACCCCGGCUGGGCUUUCAGUUCCGUCCUCGGGGUCCAGGAGUGCAGCCGCCAGACGGCAGGUGCUUAGCAAGUGUCGGUCGGAGAAUGAGUAGAUCCCAGGUCCGACACCGGCGUGGCCGCGCACAGGCCCGUCCCUGGUGGCCCCCUCCUGACGGGAGGAACGGCCGGCGCGGGGCCCUCGGGACCUAAAGGUGAGCCGCAGACCAGACCGUGACGAAAUGCCCGUCAGCCUUCGCCCAGGCCCGCACCUGCCGACGUCGCUACCUAUUCAUUGUAGUUGAGGAAAUUCAAAGUGUAACUGUCCCCGGCUCUGGGCCUGGCUCAGGCCUCUCCAUCUCCGCUGGACCCCACGCAAUUUGCUUCAUUACCCCCCAAAUUAUUACCGCAACUAAAACAGAGGCUUAGUAGACAACCGUGAACGUCCUUGUCCUUGCCUGGAAGCACCUCACCUCCUGGCGAGACGGCGUCCCCUGAUGAAGCCGGCUGACCCCAAGCCCUAGGUCCGAGCGCCGGAGAACGGGCAGGAGGGGAGCUUCCACAGGUCGGGCUGGGUUGGCUCCCCGCGCAGCAGGUGCCAGAAGGUCCCAGAAGGUCCCAGAAGGUCCGGGCCCACAGCCCAGGGUGGGGCGAGCUCUCCGCAGCCAGGAGCCAGCUGCACCCGCAGUGCCCUUCAGGGGAGCCUCAGGGCCGUUCAUUCCCGGGGUCACCCCCCGGCGCUCCCCCUAUUCCCGGGGUCACCCCCUGGCGCUCCUCCUUAAAAGCAACUUGCUGCUGCCCAGGUCACAGCCCCC